Molecule: long non-coding RNA, 1949 nt
Filed under: Marmota monax (woodchuck)
Lineage: Eukaryota; Metazoa; Chordata; Mammalia; Rodentia; Sciuridae
Source: RNAcentral
GUGACUACGGGGUGGAAAGUCAAGGGGACAACAGGGAAAACGGAGCCUUGCUAUUUCCUUAGAAGUGAGGCAUUUUAUUUUCGGAUGCUGUUGGCAGUAUUUCAAGACAAUGAUGGGCUGCUGGAGGAAGGACACUAACAUCAUCCAUGCCUAUUCUGUGCCGGGCACGUGGGAUUUCCAGCAUUGUCCCACAGAAUCCUCAUCACACCCCUGCAAGUUAAUGGUGAGACUCUCCACUUCACAGCUGAGGACAUGGAGGUUCAGAGAUGUGUAGUAGUAUAUCCUUGCCUCGCAGCCUGCAAGUUCCAGAUCAGGCUCAGCUGACUCAAGAGCGCAGGCUCUAGCCCCACCCUGUGUCCCCCCAAUCCUUUAUCGGUUCUCUCAAGGGUCUACCACCUACGUUCAGAUAAAAAUUGGUGGGCUUUGCAUCAAAUGUCCACCUGAAAUAAGUUUAAUAAUUGAAAAGUCAGGCUGGUCAAAUUUUUGGUUCUGGGAAGUCUGUAUAGUUGAAGAAGUACCCAUCAGUGAGUGGGAGUCCUCCAGGGUUGAAUUCAGAUAUAUAUCUAUAUCUACACCUAUCUAUAGAUAGAUAUACACAUAUAUUCAGAGACACAUAUCUAUAUAUGGAGAGAUUUAGGUGCGGUGUGUGUUUUUGUGUGUGUGUAUAUGAAGGGAAGAGAAGAAAUACUGAUAAGAGAAGACAUGAAGUGUAGGCCUCAAACCAGAAAAUUGAGACUGAGAGUCUGGAUAGCUAUAGCACAGGGAUAACAAUGAAAGUCCUAAGAAUGACAAAUCUGUCUAUUGAGUGCUUACAAGGUGCCAGGCACUCUACCAGGUGUUUUCCAAAGAUGAGUACAUUUUAUUCUCACAACCAUCCUACUAAAAAGGCAGGACUAUUGUAUUAGUCCAUUUUGUGUUGCUGCAACAAAACAUCUGAGACUGGGUACUUUAUAACUGAAGACGUUUAUUUGGCUUAUGAUUUUGGGGGUGGAUGGAAGAUCCAAAUUGCAGGGAGCCUGCAUCCUGGCAUGGCCACCUUGGCUGUGACAGACGACAAAGGAACAGAAAAGGAAAUGGCUGUGUGCAGAAGAGGCUAAGCCUAUGGGAUGGCUUUGCUUUCUAACUCCCUAACUAUCUUGAGACCUAACCCACUCUGCAAGAGAUCAGUAUUAAUCCAUUUAGGAGGGUGGAGCCCCAAUGACCUAAUUUCCUCUCACUAGCCACCUCUUUAAAGGCUCCAACACCUCAAUGCAGUAUUGAGCCUAUGAACCUUUUAUUUUUUUUCCAGUUUUCCAGCACAUGAACUUUUGAGGGGUAAAUCACAUCCAAAUCUAAAGCAUUUACCAUCCCUAUUUUUAGAUUGAGUACCUUGUACAUGAAGAAUCUUACAGAGGAAAUGGUGAAGGAGAGACUGGAACGAAGCUCUGUUCAACCCUAAGACUCCUUGCUUCAUUUAACCAUCAGGCUUUACUAAGUCAAGGUGAACGAGAGUGGGAGAAGCCUAGCACCUGGAGAUGAUGCUAACCUGGAGAAGCAGUACUUUGCAGGUGACAUAUCUUGGGAGGAUGGGACACAGAGUGGCUACAGCUCACCCAGAACCAGUCCUUCAGGCAAGAUCAGGUGCCUCAGGAGCCAGCAGUUGAGCGCUAUGGGAGCUCUUGGGUCCAGAGUGGGUGGAGACAAGCAGACUUGGUCAAUAUCCAUUGGCCUCUCUCGGAUUGGUUCAGGAACCUCAGGGGGCGGGGCUUAAGCCUCAGGGAGCUGGAGCUGCUUGGUGCUGCUACCCCAGGGCUGGAGUCUCGCGCUGUGACUUCUGGGACUUUGGCUUAGUGAUUUCACAACCUUGAGCCUCAGUUUUCUGGAAAGUGGAGAUAAUCUGAGUACAUUCAAAUAUUAGUAUAGUAUAUUAUUAGAUAAUAAUUAAUUGUGUCGUUGGGAGGUUCGGUGAA